This is a long non-coding RNA of Mobula hypostoma (lesser devil ray), 2662 nucleotides long. RefSeq lists it as uncharacterized. The record is from RefSeq and is a predicted model, not a curated record. Lineage: Eukaryota; Metazoa; Chordata; Chondrichthyes; Myliobatiformes; Myliobatidae. The transcript has 3 exons.
AGACCUUGCAGUUUGUGUUCAAGCAACAUACAUCAAAGUUGCUGGUGAACGCAGCAGGCCAAGCAGCAUCUGUAGGAAGAGGUACAGUCGACGUUUCAGGCCGAGACCCUUCGUCAGGACUAACUGAAGGAAGAAUUGAUGGCACAUGGAUCAAGAACAAGCCCUCAGCAAUUCACCGAUGUACGUGCGCACAUGCUCCACCCUGCUUUCCACCUAGCGAAUACUGGAGAGCAGCACCAACAGGAGGCGCAGGUCCUCAAUCCAGCAUGGAUGCCACCAAACGGUGCUUCUGGCGCUUCUUCUCCAGGGCGGCUGCAACAGGGACCGUGCACAAUUCUGAUUGAUGGAGACAGACGCGAGAAGCACAGAGGAACAUCUGGUGAAACUUCUGAAAUGCCCGGUUUGCUGCCGCUGAUACUGUGCGAUCAAGAAUCUCCGGAGGGAAGGCCCAAAUCCUCGGCUUUUCCUGUUGCUGGCGGCCGGGGUCGAAGCGCUUGGCAGAGAUGUUGCUCAGAUCGGAGGGCUAGUCGGAGGCUCAAAGUUUUCAGACGAUUCAGAGUCGGACUGUGGUCGGGGUGCUUCCAGGAUGCUGCAUUGGCAAGUUUGUGGUGCUGGUAGCUUAUGGCAGGAAGAGAGUUUUCUUCCUUCUCCUGUCUGUGUGAGAUGAUGGGACUUUUGAGAGACUGAACUUUUUUUUACCGUGCCCAUGGCCUGUUCUUCAUCAAGUUACAGUAUUGCUUGCACUGUUGUAACUAUAUGUUAUAAUUAUGUGGUUUUUAUCAGUUUUUCAGUCUUGGUCUGUCUUGUGUUUGUGAUACCACACCAGAAAAACAUUGUAUCAUUUCUUAAUGCAUGCAUUACUAAAUGAUAAUAAAAGAGGACUGCGUGUCCUCAUAAUCUAAUCUAAACAGGUUCCUACUAAAAGCGUCGCUGCUUCUGAAUUCGGUACUAUAGAAACAAAUCCAAUGCUGUUAUCAGAAAUGUCUCUGAAAAAACAUUAGGAGAGAUAAGAGAGAUUAUCCCUGGUGAUGGACAGAAUAUACCCCAAGUUGCUAAGGGAAGAGAGCGAAGAGAUUGCUGGGAUGUUGUUGAUGAUCUUUGCAUUCUCUCUAGCCACAGGAGUGGUACUGGAGAACUGGAGAAUGGCACAUGUUGUUCAAGAUGUAUAAUUGGGAUCAUCGUGGGAAUUUAGAUCAGUAAAUCUAAAAUCAGUAGUGGGUAAACUAUAGGAGAGGAUUCUUAGGGAUAGUAUUUAUGAGCAUUUGGAGAAGUAUUGUCAGUUUAGGGAUAGCCAGCAUUGCUUUGUCACAGAUGUCACGCCUUAUGAGUUUGAUUCAGGUUUAAAAGUGAUGAGGGUAGAGUGGAGAUUGUGUAUACGGAUUUUAAUAAACACUAGAAAUUCAGCAGAUGCUGGAAAUCCAAAAGGAACACACACAAAAUGCUGGAGGAACUCAGCAGGUCAGGCAGCACCUGUGGACAAGAGUACAGCGUCGACGUUUCGGGCUGAGACCUUUCAUUACCAUUGGAUAGGAAGGGGGAAAUUGUCGGAAUCUGACUUGCAAAUGACAUGAAGAUUGGCGUUGUUGUGGAUGGUCAGACUCCAACUUCUUCCCCCUUCCUUUCUGGUGCUGAUGAAGUGGCUCAGCCCGAAACAUUGACUGUUUACUCUUUUUCAUAGAUGCUGUCUGGCCUGCUAGAUUUCAAUAAGGUAUUUGACAAGAUUCCCCAUGGUAUAGGCUCAUCCAGAAAGUCAUGAGGCAAGAGAUUCAUGGAAACAAGGCAGCAUAGAUUUGGAAUUGGCUUGCCCAUGGAAGGCAAAGGGUGGUUGUACACACAGCAUAUUCUGCCUGGAGGUCAGUGACUAGUGCUGUUCCACAGGGAUCUGCUCUGUGACCCCUGCUCUUUGAAAAGUUUUUAAGUGAGCUGGAUGAGGAAGUGGAAGAAUGGGUUAGUAAAUGUGCAGAUGACAUGAUGAUUGGUGUUGUGGAAGUAGACAGGAUGCAGAGUUGGGCAGAGAAGUGGUAGAUGGAGUUCAAUCCAGUAAAGUGUGGAAUGAUACAGUUUCGAAGAUCAAGAUUGAAGAUGGUGUAUAGUAUUAGUGGCAGUAUUUUUUUUUUAGCAGUGUGGGGGUGGUGCUAUAGACUGGUACAAUUGGGGCACUUAAGAUGAUCUGAAAUAAGACACAUGGACGCAAGAAAAAUGGAGGGUUAUAGACUAUUUAGGAGGGUGAGAUUGAUUGUGGAGUGCUGAACAGUCUUCUGUUCUCUAUUCUAUUAAAUUAUUAUUUAACCUGCAAUGCUGCUUGAAAUGAACUACUUUUCUGUAAUCUACAAUCACUUUGCUCCUUGACUCAAUCCAUUAUUUUUAUAUCCAGUAUUAUUUUCUAUGUAUAAUCAAUCUGCUUUCCUAUAAACUGCAUCUCAUAUUUAUCCUUGUUAAAGCUACCAUUUAACCAAGCAGUUUGUACAUUUUCUCUUGCAUUCAAACAGUACAUUACAUCAUUGUAGACUACAUCCCUCUUAGUUUUGAUAAAAAUUACUUGGUCCUAAAAGAAAAUCAAUGGAUGUUUUGAUAUGUGCCAAGCACAGAGACUCACUAAAAUCAAUAUAAAAAUAUAAAAGGGCUCUCUGAUAAACUGAAAUAAUUGGCAACAUGUACCAUA